GGGGGUAUCGCUCAAGUGGUAGAGUGCAUGCUUAGCAUGCACGAGGUCCUAGGUUCAAUCCCCAGUGCCUCCU
RNAcentral lists this transfer RNA (73 nucleotides) under Camelus dromedarius (Arabian camel). It matches the Rfam family "tRNA". From Rfam's summary of the family: Transfer RNA (tRNA) molecules are approximately 80 nucleotides in length. Their secondary structure includes four short double-helical elements and three loops (D, anti-codon, and T loops). Further hydrogen bonds mediate the characteristic L-shaped molecular structure. tRNAs have two regions of fundamental functional importance: the anti-codon, which is responsible for specific mRNA codon recognition, and the 3' end, to which the tRNAs corresponding amino acid is attached (by aminoacyl-tRNA synthetases). tRNAs cope with the degeneracy of the genetic code in two manners: having more than one tRNA (with a specific anti-codon) for a particular amino acid; and 'wobble' base-pairing, i.e. permitting non-standard base-pairing at the 3rd anti-codon position. The record is from Rfam by way of RNAcentral. Lineage: Eukaryota; Metazoa; Chordata; Mammalia; Artiodactyla; Camelidae. RNAcentral also lists the same sequence under 1 other name.